RNAcentral lists this ribosomal RNA (170 nucleotides) under uncultured rumen bacterium. RNAcentral's name for it is "partial 16S ribosomal RNA". It matches the Rfam family "Bacterial small subunit ribosomal RNA", at positions 340 to 524 of the family's 1533-position model. The record is from RNAcentral.
UACGGGAGGCAGCAGUGGGGAAUAUUGGGCAAUGGGCGAAAGCCUGACCCAGCAAUGCCGCGUGAGGGAUGAAGGUCUUCGGAUUGUAAACCUCUGUCCUUGGUGACGAAGGAAGUGACGGUAGCCAAGGAGGAAGCCCCGGUUAACUACGUGCCAGCAGCCGCGGUAAU